UGUUAAAAAAUUCAUCCAUUUCUACUGUUAAAAAUUAGUGUACCUAAUAAAAUAAUCAAACAAUUACACGUAGCAUGUCGCAUGUACAUCAUUAUGAUAUAGAGAUCAGUUUUUAAUAGUAGAGAUGGAUGAUAAUUUUAACA
This is a non-coding RNA of Gossypium raimondii (Peruvian cotton), 143 nucleotides long. The record is from Rfam. NCBI's taxonomy places the organism in Eukaryota, Viridiplantae, Streptophyta, Magnoliopsida, Malvales, Malvaceae.